This 425-nucleotide ribosomal RNA is filed under the name uncultured bacterium. Its description in RNAcentral is "partial 16S ribosomal RNA". It matches the Rfam family "Bacterial small subunit ribosomal RNA", at positions 354 to 796 of the family's 1533-position model. The record is from RNAcentral.
GUGGGGAAUCUUAGACAAUGGGCGCAAGCCUGAUCUAGCCAUGCCGCGUGAGCGAUGAAGGCCUUAGGGUUGUAAAGCUCUUUCGUGGGGGAAGAUAAUGACUGUACCCCAAGAAGAAGCCCCGGCUAACUCCGUGCCAGCAGCCGCGGUAAUACGAAGGGGGCUAGCGUUGCUCGGAUUUACUGGGCGUAAAGGGCGCGUAGGCGGACAUUUAAGUCAGGGGUGAAAUCCCGGGGCUCAACCCCGGAACUGCCUUUGAAACUCCCAGUCUGUAGUUCGAGAGAGGUGAGUGGAAUUCCGAGUGUAGAGGUGAAAUUCGUAGAUAUUCGGAGGAACACCAGUGGCGAAGGCGGCUCACUGGCUCGAUACUGACGCUGAGGUGCGAAAGCGUGGGGAGCAAACAGGAUUAGAAACCCCAGUAGUCC